RNAcentral lists this long non-coding RNA (2412 nucleotides) under Strigops habroptila (Kakapo). Its description in RNAcentral is "lncRNA (ENSSHBG00005015131.1)". The record is from RNAcentral. Lineage: Eukaryota; Metazoa; Chordata; Aves; Psittaciformes; Psittacidae.
UUAGGUCAAGGUGAGUUUAUUGUCCAUACUGCAUACCUAAUCCCGCCAAAACACUUUUCUUAGAACCAUCUUUAAACUAGUCAAAACAACAGGUUAUUAAUAAAAAUGACAACACUGAACAAAGAAGACCUUUUAAAAGGUAAUCAAGACUACACUGUAUCAGAGUCUUAUCCAUCGAAAACAACCUCGCGUACUUUCUAAAUACUUUUGUUUACACUGAUCAUGUCUACUACCGCACUUUCUAGCAUCCCCUGACCAUAUAAACAUCCACACCUCUUAAAGAGCACAUUGUGAGAGAAUAAGGUUGGCUUGAUAUGGCAUCACACUCAAUAAAGAAAAAAAAAUAGAGAAAAAAAAAAAAACCAAAAAACAAAGUUUGAGAACAGAAACUGUGCAACCGAGAGUGAUUUCUGAGGUACAUGAGAACAUGGUAAGGAACAUAGUGGAAAAAAUCCAGUGGCCAGGUGGUUUGGUGAGUAAUUGAGGGCCCUCCGAUUAUUCCAGCACAAAUUAUCGACGUUGAACUGGGGUUAAUAGUAUUUUUCUCUUUCACAAGCACGUUGGGGAUGUAAAUAAAUAGAUUAUGAGGUGCUCCUACACUACAGUAAUGUGAGGGAGGGGAAAAUCAUCAAAGUACCAUCAAUAGGAAGCUGGGAGAGAAAUGCUCUUAGGAAUUGUGCCAAUUCUUUUGGCACUUGUAAAGGUAUAAUCAGCAUGGUUUGUUUUUGAAUUAAUCAGUAGGAAGGUUUAUGAUUUCUACAGUUCAGGGGGGAAAAAAUCUCACACCUCAUUUACAAUAAUAGUAUAUGUAAAUUUUUUUACCACCUGCUAAGCAGGAGCACUACGCAGUGUUUUUACUUUGAUCGCUACUGUGUAAAUGGUCAAGUUGUAGGUUUUCCAGACUUCAAAUACAGUCUGCUUCUGAGUGUAACCAGGCGGUUAGUAUCUUCUGAGUGCACUCUCAGCCCCGGUGGUGACCUACACAGACCCACCAGGUCCUUGCAAGGGACUGGGGCUCUGUUCCAGCACAACUUGCACCUCCAACCACUGUGCAAGGAGCCAACCUCAGUAGUGGACCUCACCCCCCUUGCUGGCAGCACUACUGAGCCCCAGAGGGAUGAUGUUGCACGAGGAGAUUCCUACAUGGCGCUGGGGCACUGCAGGAGGUGGGACCAAGAGCACGGGCAGGCACCCUAAGUAUUACUUGCACCUACACUCAACUUACAGCAUGGAGUGGAACAAACCAUGCAAACAUGAUGGACACGGUGCCUACGGUUGCUGCAGGCAGCCGCGCUACAGCCCCAGUGCAUGGAGAAAUCAUCCCACUGUCUGGGGACCUUCUGGCACACCUCCCUCUGAAGCCCCUUUUGCUAAUGCAGGAGCACUGUCAGGGAAUGAUCUGAUGUGUCACACGCUGUGUGCACCUCCCGAGUCCUCCUUCCACAACAUUAACUAUUGUUUUGUUCUCCAGAAGAGACACUGUUGCAGAACUUCAGCAGCUCCCAAGGUGGAACACGAAGGUGGUAGGUGAUGGCAGUGAUAACAAGGCUGUCCCCACCCCCAGUGUUGGGAAGCACGGACCUGCUCUGGCAAAGCCAUCAGUGGAGAGUCAAAGUCAAUGCAUUUUUUCCACUAUGAAAAAGAUACCAAAGAAGACCAAAAGGGAGCCAGUGCCCCGGCUGCCUGCAAACCCCUCCCUGGAGCGGCCGGAGCGCGGGCCCCGGGACAAAACCAAGCUGUUGUGUUGUGAGGUAUUGUGAAAAUGGGAACCAUUUCUGUUUUGUCCAGUAAACCUGAGGUAAGUAUACCGUCUUUGCAGGAUGUGAUCAGGAAGGAAGGGAAGAGAUAAAAAAAAAAAAAAAGAGAAGGAAAAAAUAAAAUAAAAAAAAAAAUCAUGAACACGCUAUUAGGAAAAAAAAACAAACUGUACAGGGCAUUUCCAGUAAAUCAAAGAACUCAUCAUAUCUCCACUUAACCAUCUACUUCAGGAUUUGAAAUUUAAGCAGUAAAAUAAUAUAUUAUAAAAAUGUUUAUAAAAUAGCAGCACACUCAGUGAAACAAUACAGCUAAGUACUGUUAAUGUGAAUAAGAAUGAAACAAAUCAUAGCUUCUUAGCAGCGCAAAAAAAAAAAAAACCCAAACCAAAAUGAAACCAAAAAACCCCCCAAAAACAAAAAAAAAACCAAAAAAACAACCCAACAAGACCUUAGAAUCUUACUCCAUUUUCUACCCUCAUCUAGCCAAAUACGGCUGAGUCCAUUCAUAUAAUAUUCUUCGAAGUAGCAUGUUCUUUCUGGAUUUUUGUCUUAAAAAUGCAAACAUUAACAUUUCAACCAACAGCUUCAUACUGGAUAUUUGCAAACUGUUAAUACAAUUGUGCAAAAAAAAAAAAAAAGAAAAAAAAAAAGAAAA